AAUAGAUACCCGGGUAGUCCACGCCGUAAACGAUGAGUGCUAAGUGUUAGAGGGUUUCCGCCCUUUAGUGCUGCAGCUAACGCAUUAAGCACUCCGCCUGGGGAGUACGGCCGCAAGGCUGAAACUCAAAGGGAUUGACGGGGGCCCGCACAAGCGGUGGAGCAUGUGGUUUAAUUCGAAGCAACGCGAAGAACCUUACCAGGUCUUGACAUCCUCUGACACUCCUAGAGAUAGGACGUUCCCCUUCGGGGGACAGAGUGACAGGUGGUGCAUGGUUGUCGUCAGCUCGUGUCGUGAGAUGUUGGGUUAAGUCCCGCAACGAGCGCAACCCUUGAUCUUAGUUGCCAGCAUUCAGUUGGGCACUCUAAGGUGACUGCCGGUGACAAACCGGAGGAAGGUGGGGAUGACGUCAAAUCAUCAUGCCCCUUAUGACCUGGGCUACACACGUGCUACAAUGGAUGGUACAAAGGGGCAGCGAAGCCGCGAGGCUAAGCCAAUCCCAUAAAACCAUUCUCAGUUCGGAUUGCG
Molecule: ribosomal RNA, 528 nt
Filed under: uncultured bacterium
Lineage: Bacteria
Description: bacterial SSU rRNA
Rfam family: Bacterial small subunit ribosomal RNA
Source: RNAcentral